UCAGGACGAACGCUGGCGGCGUGCUUAACACAUGCAAGUCGAACGAUGAACCACCUUCGGGUGGGGAUUAGUGGCGAACGGGUGAGUAACACGUGGGCAAUCUGCCCUGCACUCUGGGACAAGCCCUGGAAACGGGGUCUAAUACCGGAUACUGAACCGCUUGGGCAUCCAGGCGGUUCGAAAGCUCCGGCGGUGCAGGAUGAGCCCGCGGCCUAUCAGCUUGUUGGUGAGGUAACGGCUCACCAAGGCGACGACGGGUAGCCGGCCUGAGAGGGCGACCGGCCACACUGGGACUGAGACACGGCCCAGACUCCUACGGGAGGCAGCAGUGGGGAAUAUUGCACAAUGGGCGAAAGCCUGAUGCAGCGACGCCGCGUGAG
This 380-nucleotide ribosomal RNA is filed under the name Streptomycetaceae bacterium ACTS32. Its description in RNAcentral is "bacterial SSU rRNA". It matches the Rfam family "Bacterial small subunit ribosomal RNA", at positions 24 to 405 of the family's 1533-position model. Lineage: Bacteria; Bacillati; Actinomycetota; Actinomycetes; Kitasatosporales; Streptomycetaceae. The record is from RNAcentral.